AAAAAACUGAACUAGGAAAAGAUGAAUGUACAAGAAAUCGAGGAUGACUCUCGAGGAUGGUUACUAUAAUUUUCGCGCAAACAUGAGAAAAUCUUGGUGUUCCUAGGCCUCACUCAUGUAAAAAUUGGAAGGCUGGAUUCUCAAGAAGUUCGGUUGCAGGUUUUACAUCUGUGAAAUCCUUGACUUGAAGUGAAUUUGAAACUUCUUCAAU
This 211-nucleotide unclassified non-coding RNA is filed under the name Hevea brasiliensis (rubber tree). Lineage: Eukaryota; Viridiplantae; Streptophyta; Magnoliopsida; Malpighiales; Euphorbiaceae. The record is from RNAcentral.